This 229-nucleotide ribosomal RNA is filed under the name uncultured bacterium. Its description in RNAcentral is "partial 16S ribosomal RNA". It matches the Rfam family "Bacterial small subunit ribosomal RNA", at positions 568 to 796 of the family's 1533-position model. The record is from RNAcentral.
UCCGUAGGCGGGUAAUUAAGUCAGAGGUGAAAUCCCACAGCUUAACUGUGGAACUGCCUUAGAUACUGGUUAUCUUGAGUUUUAGUGAAGUAGAUAGAAUGUGUAGUGUAGCGGUGAAAUGCAUAGAUAUUACACAGAAUACCGAUUGCGAAGGCAGUCUACUAACUAACAACUGUCGCUAAUGGACGAAAGCGUGGGGAGCGAACAGGAUUAGAUACCCUGGUAGUCC